Molecule: long non-coding RNA, 3353 nt
Organism: Anguilla rostrata (American eel)
Lineage: Eukaryota; Metazoa; Chordata; Actinopteri; Anguilliformes; Anguillidae
Exons: 5
Source: RefSeq, a predicted model, not a curated record
UAAGAAGUGACUUGAUAGUUUAAACCAGCCCACAGAAAUUUGGUUACUUCACUUCCUCCUUGCUUUUAGGACAGGGCUGCCCAACUAUAUUUUUGGAGAUCUGUAGGUUUCCACUCCAACCCUAACAAAGCACACUUCAUUCAACAGCCAGCUAGAGAGCUGUUUGAGGUGCUAAUUAGUAGAAUCAGGUGUGCUAAAUUAGGGUUGAAAUUAAAACCUACUGUCCAGGAUCAGAGCUUGGCAGCCCUGCUGUAGGAGCUAUCAUGCCAGGAUCGACGGGCCGCUUGCCUUGUAACUGCAUAAGGGAAGGCAGACCUCAGCUCCACCAGUUCUUUCCUGUUUGCAUACUGUGAAUCUGAUGAGUCCACCAACUGCUGGUUCUCCACCAUUCUGGUUCUAAGAAAGACUUUGAAAUGGCAAGAGUGACUGGAUCUGGCCAGUUGUGCUCCUGUGAGGUUAGCAUACAGCUCUUAUGUAGCUAAUGAUUGCUGGCACUUGGUUUUGAGGAUGAAAUGAGCAAAUGGCUAAAAAGACAGAGGGGAAGCGGAGAGAGUAGCAGACGGAGACGGGAUCAUGAGGGGAUUUGUAUGCCUCUUGAAGCUGGUGGUGUGAGCACAGAUUCUUCUUCCAGGAAAGUCAGACCUGGCUGCGUCCAUAUGGCCAGGCCGUGCUCACUGAGCCUUUAUUUUGCCUGAGUCCUUUACAGUUUUUCAUCGGUUUCCACGGUCUGGUAAUCUCCCUGAUCUUUUAUGGGCAUUUUUACGACCUUGUUACUGCGCUGUAAUUUAGCGUAUUCCAAUGGACGGUGGCUGAACAGAGCAGCUCUUACUUUGCAUGGACUCAGAUCUGGCAAUACUAAUCCAGAGCCCGAAACCUGAGUUUGAAGUUUAACAAACUGCCCUGUCACUCAGACCAUGGCAAUCGGCAGGGGUCCCAGCAGGAUGGAUCCAUCUUCAAACGGUGUAACAGUAAAUCCCCUGUCAGCUCAGCACUUCAAUUACAGAAAACAACAGUAAUAUACUGUUCCCUUCACACCUACAGCACAGAGUACUGAGGAAUAUACGUGACAGAUGACCCAGCCCAAGUGUGGCUAUUGACCCUCACCCCAAGUCCAGCUAUGCACCAGGAAGCACUCAUUGAUCUCCUCAAAAGACAUCCAUCUACACACUUUUGGAACAUAUUGAAUCCUGAUAUGUUCAUUCACUGUGUUUUUUUUGCUUCAGCUCUGUAAAAGGGACAUUUUUGAUUUUGUGGGCUUCAGUGCACCUAAUUAAAUUGCAUGUUCUGGCUCACUGGAAAAAUGCUGAUUUGGAGAGUUGCAAAUAAGAGACUGACACGCACUUUUUUUCUAGCUGCACGCCAUGCUCAAUCCUGUGAAAUAAAAAAGUUUAGACACUUAAUUUCAUCAGUUAAAAUAACAAAUUAAAUUCAAUUUGCUCGCUUUACCUCAUUAAGUAAUUAAGUGAAUACCAUAUUCUGAUGAAUGAUUACAUCUUUUAUAAGCCUUUGGAAUAAUUGAUGGUAGAACACACUGACAUCUGAGAUUUUUUCUCAUCGCCUGGCGAUGAGUCACAUUAAACCCCUCCCACAAAAAAUAACAAGAAAACAAAAGCCUGUAUACAAUGUGCACAUGACAGACGAUAGACUGACAUUUUGACAACAGGAGAAGCAUGCUAUAAGAUCAUAGAUUCCAUGACCUGACUGACAGUGAUGCAUCGUGCCACAUUUUAAAACAACGUGCACUUAAAGACAAACGCUCACAGUCCAGCAGACUUUCACUUUCUUUGUUUUGCUGUUGAAUUUGAGCAGGUUUGAAAACCUAGGUAAUCCAGUGUAAUCCUGUUUUUGUUGCUGCUAUCCUUUUGAUUAACUAUUAAUAAUUGUUUCCUCAAACGUAUUUGGACACAAUUCAAUUUUGCCUUGUUGGCAUUUAUGUCUUUUUCCCUCAAAUGGUUUAGUUUCAAUAACCAAAUGUUCAGUUUUUCAGGAGUUUUCACCUGUCAGUCUCAUUAUAAUUUAACCAAUUACAAAUUGUUGCCACUUCCUAAAGGAAACAUUCGUUAAAUAACGCAUUACAGAAAAUAAAAGCAGUUGAUUUGAAUAAUGAAAAGAUGUGUGAUCUGAAUAUUAGACAUUUACUCUUCCUGGCAUGCAUAACCGUUUUAUGAUUCUGGCCUUAGGAAGGUAAAUGAGAUUUAUUUCAUAAAUCAGGGGAUAUGAAAAAGUGUAUUAUUAAUUUUCAGCUUGUUAAAAUUUUAAAAUUUAUAAUGACAUUCAAUUUUUUAAAACCCCUAUAUCAAAGGCCCCAUCAAUCUGUUUGUGUGGUAACGGUUCUAUGUAUUUUGCAACUUAAUUGUUGCACAUAAAUAAUUUUGCCUUUCUGCAUCGCCAAGUGGCCUGUUCAACUUGAGAACUCCAAUUUAACCCGUCUCCCUGCGAUGUCGAAGUAUAGGGAGAGAGUGCUGUUACGGGUUCUGCACACCCACUUGGUUUUGACAUUUUACGGGGAGAGGCUUUGAUCUAUGGCUGGUUUCAAAGCCCCCGCAAUGCUUCAGUCUGUGUCCUCUACCUGCUCUGAGAGUGAGGGAGUGAGGGGUUUUGGGUAGGGGCGGCAGUGACCACAGCAGGAUGGGGGGGGGGGACAGCUGAUUGAAGUUGAAAUGGAGGCACUUCUAUUCGGCACACAACAUUAGACGUGUGGGCACUGGCAGUGUGCCUGAGUGGUCAUUAGCGGCGGUCAGUGAUGUGGAGAGAAAAGAAGGCUCAUAAAAAUCAGGGCUGCCAGAUCUUUUAUCCCCCCCCCACCCCACACACACGCACCCCUCCCCCAACGACCUGCUUUUUACAUCCUCGUUAAAUCACCUUCAUUAAAUCACACCACGGCGAGGAAACUAGCUCAGGGUCAUUCUCAUGAACAUUACCUUAUAUGAUACCUGAAGGUCUAGUAGAGCAUAACGUCAAGGUUAAUUGUUUUUUAUUUUUAUUUUUCUUAUUUUUACCCCAUAUCAACAUGCACAUCUGCACAUUUUUCACACAUCAAUACUGUUUAGGUACACCAUUAUUAUUUUUCAAUUAUGUUUGAUUAACCUUUUUGAGUAUUCCAUGAUAUUUGCUUCUUGUUAUAUUCUGUAAUGUCUGCCUGUGAUUUGUGAGAGAGCAAGAAUAUGAAAUAAUAUGAAAAAAGAGAUCCCUCCAAAAUACCCAGUUUCUGUAUAUUUGUUUCUACUGGUAGCUAAUGCAUGUUCUUUUAAAUCUAGAGUUAAAUGAAACAUUAUUGGGCCAGUGAAACAUUUUCUUGUUGUUUUGGCUCUGUACUCCAUUACUUUGGAUUCGACAUAAAACAAUGAAUAAGA